Molecule: small nuclear RNA, 114 nt
Organism: Acanthochromis polyacanthus (spiny chromis)
Lineage: Eukaryota; Metazoa; Chordata; Actinopteri; Pomacentridae
Product: U5 spliceosomal RNA
Exons: 1
Source: RefSeq, a predicted model, not a curated record
UUACUCUGGUUUCUUCAUAACGUACAAGUCUUGUCGCCUUUACUAAAAGACUUCCGUGGAGAGUGACUCCAGACGGAAGUGUAGUCCUAUUCCUUGGCAGGACUUUGCCGUCUG